GAGUAAGUAGUUUAAAUAAAACAUUAAGUUGCAAUCUUAAAAUUGAAGUUUCUCCUUACUUU
Molecule: transfer RNA, 62 nt
Filed under: Tritoniopsis elegans
Lineage: Eukaryota; Metazoa; Mollusca; Gastropoda; Nudibranchia; Tritoniidae
Description: tRNA-Cys
Source: RNAcentral